This 67-nucleotide transfer RNA is filed under the name Marmota monax (woodchuck). Its description in RNAcentral is "tRNA.Ala". The record is from RNAcentral. Lineage: Eukaryota; Metazoa; Chordata; Mammalia; Rodentia; Sciuridae.
GGAUGUAGUUCAGUGGGACAGUGCUUGCCUAGCAUGCUGGAGGCCCUGGGUUCCAUCCUCAGCACCA